GAUGAAGAACGCAGCAAAAUGCGAUAAGUAAUGUGAAUUGCAGAAUUCAGUGAAUCAUCGAAUCUUUGAACGCACAUUGCGCCCGCCAGUAUUCUGGCGGGCAUGCCUGUUCGAGCAUCAUUUCAACCCUCAAGCCCUCGGGUUUGGUGUUGGGGAUCGGCGAGCCUUUCUGGCAAGCCGGCCCCGAAAUCUAGUGGCGGUCUCGCUGCAGCCUCCAUUGCGUAGUAGUAAAACCCUCGCAACUGGAACGCGGCGCGGCCAAGCCGUUAAACCCCCAACUUCUGAAUGUUGACCUCGGAUCAGGUAGGAAUACCCGCUGAACUUAAGCAUAUCAAUAAGCGGAGGA
RNAcentral lists this unclassified non-coding RNA (346 nucleotides) under soil metagenome. RNAcentral describes it as "partial contains 5.8S ribosomal RNA, internal transcribed spacer 2, and large subunit ribosomal RNA". The stretch from base 1 to 120 matches the Rfam family "5.8S ribosomal RNA", at positions 35 to 154 of the family's 154-position model. The record is from RNAcentral.